This 248-nucleotide long non-coding RNA is filed under the name Capsicum annuum. RNAcentral describes it as "long non-coding RNA (CANN_LNC016368)". Lineage: Eukaryota; Viridiplantae; Streptophyta; Magnoliopsida; Solanales; Solanaceae. The record is from RNAcentral.
UGAAUAUAAAUAUUUUUGUGGGGAAAAUAUGGGAAUAAGAACUUACAUGAAGUAACUAGGAGAGAGGUUUCCCUUUCGGGAACCCCCUAAAGAUCGAAUAGAAAACUUGAAGCUUUUAUUUAAACCACGAUGUUACAAAGUUUAUACAAGAACGACUGGGUUAGACAAGUUUUUUGGGAGGAAAGGUUUAAACAUUUCAGGCGAGUUUUUAGGUUGGUUGAUUUUUUCUCUCUGACUUUCUACUACAA